GGGUCUGUGGCUCAGCGGUGCAGAAUCUGUUUGGCAUGCAGGAGGCUCCAGGUUCGAUUCCUGGCGCCUCCA
RNAcentral lists this transfer RNA (72 nucleotides) under Sphaerodactylus townsendi. RNAcentral's name for it is "tRNA-Ala". It matches the Rfam family "tRNA". Rfam says of the family: Transfer RNA (tRNA) molecules are approximately 80 nucleotides in length. Lineage: Eukaryota; Metazoa; Chordata; Lepidosauria; Squamata; Sphaerodactylidae. The record is from RNAcentral.